RNAcentral lists this long non-coding RNA (689 nucleotides) under Fukomys damarensis (Damara mole-rat). RNAcentral's name for it is "lncRNA (ENSFDAG00000022696.1)". Lineage: Eukaryota; Metazoa; Chordata; Mammalia; Rodentia; Bathyergidae. The record is from RNAcentral.
CUUGGUCAGUCCCCUCCCCCUUUCGGUUUUUUAUCUGCACACUUUGGGAAGAAGGAAACUCAGGUUCUCACAGCCGGCGGGCGGCAUCUGAAGCCUUUCGGAAGAAAGGAUCCCGCUAGACUCCCUAGCCUCCCGGACCCCACAGCCAGACUGACUCCUCAUUGGGUCUCCUCUACUUUCUGCUGCCCACCUUUUUGUUGCUGGCAGCCCUCUCUUGCUCCCACCUCUGCCCCCCAUCCCUCACUCCACCAAACGGCCACACUUCCCCUUGGUCUUUCCGGGGCUUCCCUAUGCAACUGUUUAAUUUUGUGCAAUUCCUUUGCAUUUUCCAUGAGGUAUGGUCGUGGGGAGGAUCUUUCGAGUCCCUCCAAUGAAGGCAGACCUGAGCACGGGCCCUUCGUGUGCAUGAAGCAAGCCUUCCGAUUGCAGAGGAGUCCAUCGAAUCCUAAGUGGGAAGGAAAUCUGUGCUUGGUGUACCACAGCCCCACGCAAACAGCAUGUCAAGUGCCAAUUAUAAAGAUGUUGCUUUUCUGUUACAUUGGGGGGGUGCCACAAAACAUGUAGGUAAAUUUUUAAUUGUGUUUUUUUAAAAACAUGUUUUAUCCAAGCUUCUGUUCAUCUAGUUGAAGUUAACUUUCUCCAGAAAAAUAAAAAGCCCUGCUUAAAUGAACUGGUGAAUAGAUAACUGC